CCUACGGGAGGCAGCAGUGGGGGAUAUUGCACAAUGGGGGGAACCCUGAUGCAGCGACGCCGCGUGGGUGAAGAAGCGCCUCGGCGCGUACAGCCCUGUCAGCAGGGAAGAAAAUGACGGUACCUGAAGAAGAAGCCCCGGCUAACUACGUGCCAGCAGCCGCGGUAAUACGUAGGGGGCAGGCGUUAGCCGGAUUUACUGGUUGUAAAGGGGGCGCAGACGGCGAUGCAAGCCAGGAGUGAAAGCCCGGGGACCAACCCCGGGACUGCUCUUGGAACUGCGUGGCUGGAGUGCAGGAGGGGCAGGCGGAAUUCCUGGUGUAGCGGUGAAAUGCGUAGAUAUCAGGAGGAACACCGGUGGCGAAGGCGGCCUGCUGGACUGCAACUGACGUUGAGGCCCGAAAGCGUGGGGAGCAAACAGGAUUAGAUACCCCUGUAGUC
RNAcentral lists this ribosomal RNA (440 nucleotides) under uncultured bacterium. RNAcentral's name for it is "partial 16S ribosomal RNA". It matches the Rfam family "Bacterial small subunit ribosomal RNA", at positions 338 to 795 of the family's 1533-position model. The record is from RNAcentral.